GUACAUCCAGAGAACUUAGCAGNGAUGCUUUGGUGCCUUCGGGAACUCUGAGACAGGUGCUGCAUGGCUGUCGUCAGCUCGUGUUGUGAAAUGUUGGGUUAAGUCCCGNAACGAGCGCAACCCUUAUCCUUUGUUGCCAGCGGUUCGGCCGGGAACUCAAAGGAGACUGCCGGUGAUAAACCGGAGGAAGGUGGGGAUGACGUCAAGUCAUCAUGGCCCUUACGGCCAGGGCUACACACGUGCUACAAUGGCGCAUACAAAGAGAAGCGACCUCGCGAGAGCAAGCGGACCUCAUAAAGUGCGUCGUAGUCCGGAUUGGAGUCUGCAACUCGACUCCAUGAAGUCGGAAUCGCUAGUAAUCGUAGAUCAGAAUGCUACGGUGAAUACGUUCCCGGGCCUUGUACACACCGCCCGUCACACCAUGGGAGUGGGUUGCAAAAGAAGUAGGUAGCUUAACCUUCGGGAGGGCGCUUACCACUUUGUGAUUCAUGACUGGGGUGAAGUCGUAACAAGGUAGGCGUAGCGAG
This 527-nucleotide ribosomal RNA is filed under the name uncultured bacterium. RNAcentral describes it as "bacterial SSU rRNA". It matches the Rfam family "Bacterial small subunit ribosomal RNA", at positions 982 to 1509 of the family's 1533-position model. The record is from RNAcentral.